Long non-coding RNA from Oncorhynchus tshawytscha (Chinook salmon), 3238 nucleotides. NCBI's taxonomy places the organism in Eukaryota, Metazoa, Chordata, Actinopteri, Salmoniformes, Salmonidae. The record is from Ensembl.
GUUGGUGGGGUUUCGUAAAGUAGACCUUUGCGCCAUAGCUGACUAUUAUGGACUCUUCGUCCCUGAGGAAGCCCUAAAGGCUGAGCUGUUGGUGCUAGUCAGGGAGGGUUUAGUGAGAAAAGGAAAUUUCUUGUUGAAAUAUGAGGGAGGCGGAUAGACCUUCAUAUGCCAAGGCGGAGGAAGGGGUUGCUCGUACCUCCUCUACAUUGCCCCGAUUUCAACCCUUUAUCUUCUGCUUCGGGUUGUUCAGAUGGGACCGCUAGGCUAAAGGUGGUGCUGACCUGUUUGGAAAUGGAGCUAAAAUAUAAAGUGUGUUUAUCCAGCUGGAGUUUGAUUUAGAAAUGAGGAAAAUGGCCAUAUAAGCCGACAAGGAGGUGAGGAUCCGAUAACUCCACAACCUACCCAUCAUCAAGCCUACUUUGAAGUCUCCAGCCCGAAUCAUCCGGAGAGUCAAGGGGCCCUUGAACUGCUGGCAUCAGACGCUUAAGGCGACUCUAAGCAAGUAUUGCAUGGAUACCAAUACCGAUUGGGAUGGAGGGGUGCCCUUUGUCUUAUUUGCUAUCAGGGAAACAAUACAAGAGUCAUUAUGCUUCAGUCCUGCUGACCUUGUGUUUGAACACACCCCAUGGGGUCCGCUAAAAGGAUAUGCUCCUUCAAAACUAUCUCCUACAGCCAUCAGCGCCCCUAAAAAUGUGUUGGAUUAUGUCAGAAAAGAUUCGGGAGAGACUGAGCGCCGCAUGUGCAUUGGCACAAAAGUCUCUCUAUUUGUCUCAAACACAUGAAAUUACAUGACAAAGAGGCUGUUGGCCAUUCUUUUGCACAAGGGGAUCAAGUUUUGGUUUUGGUUCCCAUCCCUGGCUCAUCUGUCAGAACGUAUUUUUUGUUGUUUUUUUUACAUUUUAUUAUUAUACCCCAUUUUCUCCACAAAUUCAUGGUAUCCAAUUGUUAGUAGUUACUAUCUUGUCUCAUCGCUACAACUCCUGUACGGGCUCGGGAGAGACGAAGGUCGAAAGCCAUACGUCCUCCGAAACACAGCCCAACCAAGCCGCACUGCUUAACACAGCCGCAAACCAACCCGGAAGCCAGCCGCAAAAAUGUGUCGGAGGAAACACAGUGCACCUGGUUAGCGUGCACUGCGCCCGGCCCGCCACAGGAGUUGCUAGUACGCAAUGAGACAAGGAUAUCUCUACCGGCCAAACCCUCCCUAACCCGGACGAUUCUAUGCCAAUUGUGCGUCGCCCCACGGACCUCCCGAUCGCGGCCGGCUGCGACAGAGCCUGGGCGCGAACCCAUGGUCUCUGGUGGCACAGAGAAGCAGUACCCUAGACCACUGCGCCACCCGGGAGGCCCUUUGGCCAUAUCUUGUGGAAAAGAAACUCUGUGACACCAAUUAUGUGAUAAAGACCCCGGUUUGUAGGCAUUCUUCAGGUGUGUGUCAUGUUAAAUUGCUGAAAGCAUAUUAUAUGCGUGACUCUCCAGACAGCUCCUCGGGUAAGCUGGUCCAGCCCGCCAUUUCCAUGCUGAAAAAGUUACCCUCUCAAAUUGAACAUUUGGAUAAUGAUCAAACUAUUGAUCUGGUCCUAUUAAUAAAUAGUUCUCAAUGUGUUUCAGGACGUUCCAAGUCACACGUCCAUCUUGGAACAUGACAUGGAUGUGGGGAACACUGCUUGUAUACGUCAGCAACCGUACCGGGUUAACGCUAAGAAAAGGGAUGUAAUGAAAAGUGAGGUAGCUUAUUUAUUACAGAAUGAAAUGGCAAAACCCAGUAACAGCUCUUGAAGUUCCCUGUGUAUUCUCCUUCCUAAGCCUGACGGUAAGUCCCGCUUAUGUACGGACUAUGUACAGACUAUCAUCACUAUCACUCAGGAAGGAGACUCGUUCUGUCUCCUAGAGAUGAACGUACUUCGGAAAAGUGCAACUCAAUCCCAGAACAACAGCGAAGGACCUUGUGAGGAUGUUGGAGGAAACAGGUACAAAAGUAUCUAUAGCCACAGGAAAAACUAGUCCUAUAUCGAGGCCGCUUAGCAAGGAAGAAGCCACUGCUCCAAAACCGCCAUAAAGCCAGACUACGGUUUGCAACUGCACAUGGGGACAAAGAUCAUACUUUUUGGAGAAAUGUCCUCUGGUCUGAUGAAACAAAAAUAGAACAGUUUGGCCAUAAUGACCAUUAUGUUUGGAGGAAAAAGGGGGAGGCUUGCAAGCUUAAGAACACCAUCCCAACCAUGAAGCACGGGACUGGCAGCAUCAUGUAGUGGGGGUGCUUUGCUGCAGGAGGGGCUGGUGCACUUCACAAAAUAGAUGGCAUCAUGGGGUAGGAAAAUUAUGUGGAUAUAUUGAAGCAAAAUCUCAAGACAUCCGUCAGGAAGUUAAAGCUUGGACGCAAAUGGGUUUUCCAAAUGGACAAUGACCCCAAGCGUACUUCCGAAGUUGUGGCAGAAUGGCUUAAGGACAACAAAGUCAAGAUAUUGGAGUGGCCAUCACAAAGCCCCGACCUCAAUCCCAUAGAAAAUUUGUGGGCAGAACUGAAAAAGUGUGUAUGAGCAAGGAGGCCUCCAAACCUGACUCGGUUACACCAGCUCUGUCAGGAGGAAUGGGCCAAAAUUCACCCAACUUAUUGUGGGAAGCUGGUGGAAGGCUACCCAAAACAUUUGACCCAAGUUAAACAAUUUAAAGGCAAUGCUACCAAAUACAAAUUGAGUGUAUGUAAACUUCUGACCCACUGGGAAUGUGAUGAAAGAAAUACAGGCUGAAAUAAAUGAUUCUCUCUACUAUUAUUCUGACAUUUCACAUUCUUAAAAUAAAGUGGUGAUCCUAACUGACCUAAAACAGGGAAUUUUUACGAGGAUUAAAUGUCAGGAAUUCUGCUACUGAGUUUAAAUGUGUUUGGUUAAGGUGUAUGUAAACUUCCGACUUCAACUGUGUAUAUAUUUUAUUUUUUACUGCCGCAGCAGUAAGUUGUUGGCUGUAGUAGCCCUCAAUCAAUUGGAAUACCAGGUUCACAUGUUUGCCUUCAAGUUUACUAUUUUUUCAAAAACAUAAUCUAUGGAUUUAUUUAGGUUGCUUAAGACAAACUUAUUCAAUACUAAAUAAAUUAUUUCAACGGUGAAAAAGGUGUGGUUUCAAAACAAAUAGUGUCUUCUAUGUCUUCCAUGCCCUCACGUCCCUGAAUGUUCCCUACUCGACCUAAUGAAACAUUUGCUACAAAAUCCUAACUAGAUUUGUAAUUACAGUGUCCAGU